Molecule: long non-coding RNA, 484 nt
Filed under: Homo sapiens (human)
Lineage: Eukaryota; Metazoa; Chordata; Mammalia; Primates; Hominidae
Description: novel transcript
Source: RNAcentral
UGUUUCGGCGUCCUUCCACACUGUCGCGGCUUAUGUUGUUUUGCUGUUUGGGUUUGCACUGUCUUUUUGAGCUGUAACACAGCAAAGGUUUGCAGUUUCGCUCCUGAAAUCAUCGAGACCACAAACCCACCGGGAAGAACGAACAACUCCAGACGCACCGCUUUAAGAGCUGUAAUACUCGUUAGGAAGGUGUGCAGCUUGACUCCUGAGUCAGCGAGACCAUGAACCCAUCAGAAGGAAAAAACUCCGAACAUCAGAAGGAACAAGUUUCAGACACGCCACCUUUAAGAACUGUGAUACUCACCGCGAGGGCCCGCGGCUUCAUUCUUGAAGUCCGUGAGACCAAGAACCUACCAAUUCCGAAUACGUUGGGUUCAAGUGGUUCUCCUGCCUCAGACUCCCGAAUACCUGGGACUACAGGCACCCACCACGCCCGGGAAAUUGGCAACUGAUGAAGGGAAGUGUAUCAGUCCGUUUUCAUGCU